GGACAAAGGGUGACAGUCCUAAUGCUAUGAAUGUCUGUGGCUCCUUCUACUGGUGAGAUUGAGGCCAGCAUUGGGUCUGUGCGCAGCACAGGAAGGACUGGGGCAGCAGAAGCACCCAGGCCCUGCGGAAGUCAGAGCCCGCUGUGACCACAGCUUUCCUUCCCUUGUGGUCCCCAAAGGCCAUGCAGCGCUUGGGUCUGGCCAGUCGUCAGCUCUCGCCACUGCCACAUUGACUGGCUGGCCGGCAGCAUUCAGUCAAUGUCGGUUCAAUGCUCCUUGCAUCGUAAGUCAGUGCUCCGCUCUCUCUCUAAAUCUCAGGUCCCUCAUUCGUAGGAGACGGCUUCAGUAGCAACGGGGGAAAUGUCACAGUGCCUUUCAUCCCAUCCUUUCCUCUUUUAAAUCAGCAAGAUGAAAAAAAUGGGUUCCAGUAAAGUGCUUUGUGACUUUAUUAUUAGUCUAUUUGAAGCCCUCUCUGUUUUCUUCCUCUUCCUCGCCCCCUCUUCCCCUCCUGUGCUCUUCUGCCUCCUCUUUUUCUUCUUCCUGUUCUGUUUCCUCCUCCUCUCCUUCCUCCUUCAUUUUAGCGAGGAAAGACUUCUCUCGGUAACCAUACUAGCAUGUCUUUCACUUUCUCAACGCCCUUGUCUCUCUUCAGCAAUGCCUGUUUUGCUCAAACCUGAAGCGUCAAAAUUUUUUUGAAUCUGACUUUCUGCCAGAAUUCUUUAAGUAGAUCAACUCCUUUUAUUCUCUAACAUUUUAAAACUCAUUUGCACAGAAGAGAAUUGGAAGGUCUUAAAGUACAGUUGUCCCGUGGUUCCUCACAACCUACUAAGAGUGUUGUUCCAGUUGACAGCGUUUUAAAUCCAGUAAUGAGAGAAGUUCGUCCUUUCAUAUAAAUAUCAUAGGGAUGAAUAAAGAGUCUGGAAGUACUAUUAUUGCAAUUUCUACUGGAUAUUUAGGUAAGAAUCUUGUCUCAAUAUGUUGCCCUUUGAUAAUUUUCUAUCUACUUGGCUUGUUCAGCAAGUGGAGAGCAAGUGGGUUUCCCAUAUCAUUCUGGGACAAGCUACCCCUCAUUUGUUGCUGUCAUACUCACCCCACGUUUCCACAAAUUACUCUGUGUUAGGCAAGAUGAUUUCCAAGAUAGGUAGUCUAGACUAUAAUUAAAACUAAUAUUUUUUUCACUCUAUAAAUUUAGCAGUUUAUUUCUUGAAACUAUCCUAUUUCUCUUCAACAUGGCUCUAGGGAAAUAAGCCACAAGUGCCACAUUUUUCUCUGUGGUUUUCUCAGGCAUCGUGGCCAUCCUCAUACGCAGUAUUGUGGUUUACAACAGUUCCAGACCCAGGCUGGGUGAUGGUGGUGGGUAUCAGAAAGUCUUCAUGGCCGUAAACCCAUUUAAGUAAAUUAAUAAAAUUUAUUUGAUAAGAAGUGAAACGUCUUAAAAAUUACCAGGGCCAAACUACCAAAGUCCCAGCCUAUUCUUAUGUCUAAUUUGAUGGAACAAUCUAGAAUCUGAAAAGCACUGGGUGCUUUCUUGACAGCUUACCUCUGCCGUGAGUUGGAAGUAACCUAAGAUGGGUUCCACAAUGAGGACUUUAAAGUGUCUGUAGGGAAAUGUGGAGUUAAGUAGGUGCAGAGUUGCAACAUUCUUCCAGACUGUUUUAUUUAUAUUUUUAAGCACUUACCACAGACAUAUAGUUAGCAAUGUAUAUCUUUGUCCCUCCCAUUAGUUUGCAAAUCCCUAUUGUUCACUGUUGUGUCACAAAGCCAGGGUCCUGAGAAGGUAUUUGGGGAAUGAAAGGUCUGGGACUGCCCCAUGAUGUCCUCUUGCUCCCAGUUCUGCCCGUACGAUUGCUCAGUACUCUUAGGCUGUAACCCAUUUUUCUUUGGACAAUGAUCACAUUUUGUUGUCUUAGGAGGUGUGGCAAAGAUUCUCUCACGUGCUUAUUUAACAGACCCUAAAGGCCUGGAGACUCCCAGCUGUGUGAGUUUUGAUUAUGCAGAGCACAUCUUGUAACUUUUAAGGCACUUGGCUUUCAGCAAACCUGGGUACCGCCCCUCUCCUCCUUUGGGACGAUAAAAAUAAUAAUGAUAACCACAAUGAAACUUACCGAUGCUUGCACUACAUGCCAGACAUUGGGUUAAGUGUAUCAUAUGCAUUAUCAUAUUUAUUCCUUCCAACAAUACCGUGAGAUCCCUAUCAUUCCUAUCUCCAUUUUACAGAUGAGGAAACUGAGGUGCUGAAAGGCUAAAUAGCUUAUUUGAGGUCUCCCAGCUACAGAGAGGUGGAGAGAGAAUAAGACAGCCCGUCUGCCUCCUCUUAGUCUUUUCACUCUCCAGGGGUAAAUAUAUUAGAUCAUCCAUUAUGAAGCAAUUGAGGAGAUCAAGAAAUACUCCAAGGCAGAUUUUGUUGCCUUUUGAGUCCUUAAUCAUUCUUUCAAACUUUCCAGUUGGCAUGGCUCUCUGCUCAUAAAAAGAUGUUUCAUUUACUGAAACGUGACUCCAGAAGUCUUAUGAAUGCAGCCAGCACAUAGUGGCCUGGGAUCCUUGACUGUGAUUUUUGUAACUGUGUCCUGGUUCCUGUCUGUAGAAUUUAACCCAUGCGGUUUGAACAAGGUGAUCCACCUCCCAGCUCUGGUCGACGCAGGCUGAAAAAAGGAAACUUAAAGAGUGUCUGCUAUGGUAAUUCACUGCUGCGAUCCCUCAGGGUUCUGGAAUUGUCUGCUUCCUGAAGAGUUUGCUGCUCACGGACUCCAACGUCCAGAUGCCUGAGGGGACUUUCUCGAGGCUACAGAUGUACUCUCAGCGCCUGCCCUGGAAAAGGCACAACUGCACGUGAACACAGCAUUCGUGUUAGCUGUCCAAGUGCAGUCUGGAUGUUGAGGGCCCCUCUUGCAGAGAGAGGUCCCUAAGACUGGCAUUUCCCAGUAGCAACAGACUUUUAGGUAACUUAUGACAAGACAGCGAAAAUUACAGCCACUUUGGCUGGGGGUGGG
RNAcentral lists this long non-coding RNA (2990 nucleotides) under Equus caballus (horse). RNAcentral's name for it is "lncRNA (ENSECAG00000054097.1)". The record is from RNAcentral. Lineage: Eukaryota; Metazoa; Chordata; Mammalia; Perissodactyla; Equidae.